Molecule: ribosomal RNA, 253 nt
Filed under: uncultured bacterium
Lineage: Bacteria
Description: partial 16S ribosomal RNA
Rfam family: Bacterial small subunit ribosomal RNA
Source: RNAcentral
UACGGAGGGAGCUAGCGUUGUUCGGAUAUACUGGGCGUAAAGCGCACGUAGGCGGCGCGGUAAGUCAGGGGUGAAAUCCCGGAGCUCAACUCCGGAACUGCCCUUGAAACUGCAGUGCUAGGAUUCUGGAGAGGCGAGUGGAAUUCCGAGUGUAGAGGUGAAAUUCGUAGAUAUUCGGAAGAACACCAGUGGCGAAGGCGACUCGCUGGACAGACAUUGACGCUGAGGUGCGAAAGCGUGGGGAGCAAACAGG